AUACGGAGGGUGCAAGCGUUAAUCGGAAUUACUGGGCGUAAAGCGCGCGUAGGCGGCUUGAUCAGUCGGAUGUGAAAGCCCUGGGCUCAACCUGGGAACUGCAUUCGAUACUGUCAGACUAGAAUAUGGUAGAGGGUAGUGGAAUUCCUGGUGUAGCGGUGAAAUGCGUAGAUAUCAGGAGGAACAUCAGUGGCGAAGGCGGCUACCUGGACCAAUAUUGACGCUGAGGUGAGAAAGCGUGGGGAGCAAACAGGAUUAGAUACCCUAGUAGUCC
This 274-nucleotide ribosomal RNA is filed under the name uncultured bacterium. RNAcentral describes it as "partial 16S ribosomal RNA". It matches the Rfam family "Bacterial small subunit ribosomal RNA", at positions 523 to 796 of the family's 1533-position model. The record is from RNAcentral.